Molecule: unclassified non-coding RNA, 3890 nt
Filed under: Hevea brasiliensis (rubber tree)
Lineage: Eukaryota; Viridiplantae; Streptophyta; Magnoliopsida; Malpighiales; Euphorbiaceae
Source: RNAcentral
GCAAGUUCCUACUUUGUAAGUACAAAUCCCUUCGACCUGAUUAUGCCGCCGCUUCGUGGCUGAUUUUCCAUUGAAUCGCAAAACUCCGAUCCAAGUAUAAUACCCAAAUCGACGCAUCUUAUCUUCUUAAGCUGAUCUCUCCAACUACUCCAUUCUCACAGAACAACCCAAACCCUAGCUCGCUUCAGUUGUCAUCAUCAUGGGUGACUACAACGAUGCCUUCAUGCGCAACCAAAACGCUGCCGUUCGCGGCACCACCAAGGGCCAGAACCGCGCUAAUGUUCUCCAGCUCAAACUGAUUGGGCAAAGCCACCCGACUGGUUUAACAGCUAAUUUGUUGAAACUAUUUGAGCCUCGACCUCCACUGGAUUUUAAACCCCCUCCAGAGAAGAGAAAAUGCCCACCAUAUGCUGGCAUGGCCCAGUUUGUCAGUCAAUUUGCUGAGCCUGGGGAUCCUGAGUAUUCUCGGCCCGUCCAGGAAGGUGAAACUCCUGCACAAAGAAGGGCUAGAAUUCACAAGUUACGAUUAGAGAAAGGUGCUGAGAAGGCUGCCGAGGAGCUUCAGAAAUAUGAUCCAAAUAAUGACUCAAAUAUUAUAGGAGAUCCAUACAAGACUUUGUUCGUUGCUAGGCUUAAUUAUGAGACAACUGAGAGUAGAAUUAAAAGGGAGUUUGAGUCUCAUGGACCAAUAAAACGGGUAGGUAUUUUUGAGUAUACCCAAGCGGAUUUGGUAAGAGGUUAUGCAGUGGCAUUAUUUAAAUGUUUCCCAAUUAACUUUUUCCUCCUUUCAAAAUUCUAUUUUUUGAAAAUCUUAAGUUCAUGCCUUCUAUUAUCAUUUUUUUGAACUAAAUAAAAGAUUUUAAGGGCUCUAAAGUUUCUUCAAUCAUCUCUGUAUUUUCUAAUAUUCCUUAGUUGAACCUAUGAUAAUUCAGCAUUAAAGCUUUGGUGCUUGGUAAGAUUAUUUCUAAAAUCCCUUUUAGUCAAACUUGAAUUCAGUCGAGUAUCACAGUUGCAACAGUUCUGUAUUGGUGGUAAGUGUAAUUAGUCAUGCAUAGUGCAUCUACCAUUCAGUAUCUAUAUGAAAGGGAGAAUGCUGAGCAUCUACCUGUUGUGUUGUAUCACUGGUGGAGUUUGCAAUUAAGAGCACGGGUACCACUGCCUAUUUACUGGUAAAGGCACGGGUUUGUUCUACUGAUCCUUUGAUAACUCUGCUUUACUUGUAGUUUGGUUUAGAAAUCAUCGUCGGAUGGGGGGAUCUUCCGUUUCUAGGUAUUGAUUUUAGUAUUAAGAUUCUUCAUGUUAAGAGAAUCUGGUAAGGAGGUUCUUCAUUUUGUUCUGUUCCAUAAAUAGAAAAUUUACUUCCCCUUUUCCUUACUAUCGAAUUCCAACAAUGUCCUUCAUCCUGCUGGGAAAGCUGAAAAUUAAGCUGAGCAGAGCAAGUGAUAUACUGUGCCUUUUAGCCUUUAUUUUCAAGCAACAAAAGGAGACUGGAAUCUGUCCUUUCCCCUGCACUGGGUAAAACAUUUUGGGAGUAUUAGCAUCUCUUUCCCUUUAUUUGAGUUUUUUCUUUUUUGGUAAUUCCCUGCUACUGAAAAUUUUAUUUUUGGCUUCAAAGGCUAUCAAAAACAUAUCAGCAGUUGAGAAGAUGUUCUGCACUGGUGGUGAUGCAUCUCGCGAAUGGAAGCUCUAUGAUUAAAAGGUGAGCACGGCUAAUGAGGCUUAUUGCCUGUCUGCCGUGCCAUUUAGGCUUUAUUAUCUUACACUUAAAGAGUUGGCACUUAGUUGUAUAAAAAUGAACAGUAAAUACUAUGGUAUUGGUAUCAUUCAAAAAAUAGCUGACCCAUAAAUGCACUUCAAUUGUUCUGCUUUGAGCAUUGCAGGUCCGACUGAUAACUGAUAAAAUGACGAAUAAACCUAGAGGCUAUGCUUUCAUUGAAUAUAUGCAUACUCGAGACAUGAAAGCUGCAUAUAAGCAAGCUGAUGGGAGGAAGCUUGAUGGCAGAAGGGUACUUGUGGAUGUUGAGCGGGGUAGAACUGUCCCAAAUUGGCGGCCUCGCAGACUAGGUGGUGGACUUGGAACUACACGAGUAGGGGGUGAAGAAGUUAAUCAAAGGUAUUCUGGGAGGUAAUUUCUCUGAUUUACAGCUCUUUCCUCGGACUUUUGCAUUUGGAUGCUGAUACUCCACUGUAUUUUGGGCACUCAUUUUUUCAUGCUGGUAUCUUUUAUCCUGGAAGCGCUACCUAUCAUUUUAAAAAAAAAAAUGUUUGAAUGCAAGGAGUGUCUGGUCUAAGACAUGCAUAUAAAGAUGGAUAUAUGUUCUUAUUUGAGUUGGAGUAUAGUUGAUUUUGGUUUUGUGUACAUUAGGAUAAUCUACAUUAUUUAUUCUUGGCUUAAUGCUUGUUAACGUUUUUUAAUGAGUUCAAAAGUGGCUAUGUUCUGAGCAUGUGUAAUUGAAUUUUAUCAAUGUCAAGAUACUGAGCAUGAGUUAUUGAAUUUUAUUAAUGUUAUGGUUGAUGAUACAUUCAUGUGAAAUGACAGUGCUUGUCUGACUUGGAACUUGUAUUAAUGUUCUUAACUUUCAUCAGAGAGCUACAACAAUCGGGAGGAUCAUCUCGAUCUGAGGAGCCAAGGGUGCGAGAAGAUCGUCACAGUGAACGUGAAAGGGAAAAAUCUCAUGAAAGAGGAAGGGAAAGAGAGAGGGAACGGGAGAGGUCUCGUGAGCGCUCCCAUGACAGGCCAAGGGAACGUGACCAGAGAGAAGAUAGGCACCACAGAGAUCGUGAUAGGGAGAAGGACUGGGAGAGGGAGAGAGAACGUGGAUGGGACAGGGAUCGUGACCGGGACCGUGCACGUGGUCGUGGUCGUGAUCGUGAUCGUGAUCGAGGCCGGGACCGUGGUCGCGAGUAUGGCCGGGACCGUGACCGUGACCGUGACAGAGACAAUGGUAGGGAACAUGAUCGUGAUCGCCCUCGUGAGAGGGAUUAUGAAGUUGGUGACCAUGGUCGUGGGCGUUCCCAUGAUAGAGAAUCUAAUUAUGAUCAUGUUGAUUCAAAACAUGAGAGGGAUCGCCGUGCUGAAAGGGACUAUGAUCAUGCUGAGCCAGAGGAUGACCGUGGUUGGUAUGAACAAUCUGAGCAAGAGCAUAGGCAGCCAGAUGCCGAGCAUGAUCGGCCUUAUGAUCAUUAUGAAGAUCACCGAAGUAGGAGACAAAAUGAUCAUAUGGAUGUUCAAGGUGACCAUGACCGCUAUGAUCAAUAUCCUGAUCAUGAUCAGGAUCGUAAUGAUCGGAUGGAUGACGAUGAUUAUUAUCAUGAAGCAUCUGAAUCACAUCAAAGAGAGCAUGAAUAUCGGCGCUCAAAGAGGUCACUUUCCCAGGACUAUGAUAACUGAAGGUGCACGUUUGCUGUAAUCAGCUGUUGUGCUUUGCCUGUAAGGUCACUGAGGAUAACUGAAGCCCUUUUUGCUAUAUUGCUCUUUGCCUUUCCUACCUGAUUUGGUUUGAAUUAUGUGAAUUAGUGUAGGUGUUUGUUUGAUUAAAAGCCAGAGUGGCUUGUUUUCUCUACUUUAAAUAUUGCCGUUGGACUUCCAUUUUAUGUACAAGUUAAUAGUAUUCAAGGAUAUUUGAUUGUUUUGCUGGAUUUUGUUCCUAAAUCUGAAAUGAUCCGGAUAUUUGCCUUGCUUGGCUUCUGUUCCCUGAUUGCAAUAUCAUCUUGUGCUGUAAUAAGAUUUGAUCAAUUUAAUUGGUGGCCGCAUGACAAGAUUCUACCUUGGGCACUGAGGUAACCAUACAAUUUGCAAGAAUGUAUAUGGUGCUAAAUCCCAGUGAUUGCUGGGGUUUCCUUUGGAAGUAAUAGAUUGUAGUUGAUUUUUGUUUAAUGCUGUUUGUUUA